RNAcentral lists this ribosomal RNA (492 nucleotides) under uncultured bacterium. RNAcentral describes it as "partial 16S ribosomal RNA". It matches the Rfam family "Bacterial small subunit ribosomal RNA", at positions 29 to 507 of the family's 1533-position model. The record is from RNAcentral.
AGUGAACGCUGGCGGUAGGCCUAACACAUGCAAGUCGAACGGCAGCACAGUAAGAGCUUGCUCUUACGGGUGGCGAGUGGCGGACGGGUGAGGAAUACAUCGGAAUCUACUUUUUCGUGGGGGAUAACGUAGGGAAACUUACGCUAAUACCGCAUACGACCUACGGGUGAAAGCAGGGGAUCUUCGGACCUUGCGCGAUUGAAUGAGCCGAUGUCGGAUUAGCUAGUUGGCGGGGUAAAGGCCCACCAAGGCGACGAUCCGUAGCUGGUCUGAGAGGAUGAUCAGCCACCCUGGAACUGAGACACGGUCCAGACUCCUACGGGAGGCAGCAGUGGGGAAUAUUGGACCAUGGGCGCAAGCCUGAUCCAGCCCUACCGCGUGGGUGAAGAAGGCCUUCGGGUUGUAAAGCCCUUUUGUUGGGAAAGAAAAGCAGCAGGUUAAUACCCCGCUGUUCUGACGGUACCCAAAGAAUAAGCACCGGCUAACUUCGUG